This 500-nucleotide ribosomal RNA is filed under the name uncultured bacterium. RNAcentral describes it as "partial 16S ribosomal RNA". It matches the Rfam family "Bacterial small subunit ribosomal RNA", at positions 30 to 523 of the family's 1533-position model. The record is from RNAcentral.
AUUGAACGCUGGCGGCAGGCCUAACACAUGCAAGUCGAGCGGAUGAGAAGAGCUUGCUCUUCGAUUCAGCGGCGGACGGGUGAGUAAUGCCUAGGAAUCUGCCUGGUAGUGGGGGACAACGUUUCGAAAGGAACGCUAAUACCGCAUACGUCCUACGGGAGAAAGCAGGGGACCUUCGGGCCUUGCGCUAUCAGAUGAGCCUAGGUCGGAUUAGCUUGUUGGUGAGGUAAUGGCUCACCAAGGCGACGAUCCGUAACUGGUCUGAGAGGAUGAUCAGUCACACUGGAACUGAGACACGGUCCAGACUCCUACGGGAGGCAGCAGUGGGGAAUAUUGGACAAUGGGCGAAAGCCUGAUCCAGCCAUGCCGCGUGUGUGAAGAAGGUCUUCGGAUUGUAAAGCACUUUAAGUUGGGAGGAAGGGCAGCUAGCGAAUACCUGGUUGUUUUGACGUUACCGACGGAAUAAGCACCGGCUAACUCUGUGCCAGCCGCCGCGGUAA